CCAGACUCCUACGGGAGGCAGCAGUGGGGAAUAUUGGACAAUGGACCAAGAGUCUGAUCCAGCAAUUCUGUGUGCACGAUGAAGUUUUUCGGAAUGUAAAGUGCUUUCAGUUGGGAAGAAAAAAAUGACGGUACCAACAGAAGAAGUGACGGCUAAAUACGUGCCAGCAGCCGCGGUAAUACGUAUGUCACAAGCGUUAUCCGGAUUUAUUGGGCGUAAAGCGCGUCUAGGUGGUUAUGUAAGUCUGAUGUGAAAAUGCAGGGCCCAACUCUGUAUUGCGUUGGAAACUGUGUAACUAGAGUACUGGAGAGGUAAGCGGAACUACAAGUGUAGAGGUGAAAUUCGUAGAUAUUUGUAGGAAUGCCGAUGGGGAAGCCAGCUUACUGGACAGAUACUGACGCUGAAGCGCGAAAGCGUGGGUAGCAAACAGGAUUAGAUACCCUGGUAGUCCACGCCGUAAACGAUGAUUACUAGGUGUUGGGGGUCGAACCUCAGCGCCCAAGCAAACGCGAUAAGUAAUCCGCCUGGGGAGUACGUACGCAAGUAUGAAACUCAAAGGAAUUGACGGGGGCCCGCACAAG
Molecule: ribosomal RNA, 581 nt
Filed under: uncultured bacterium
Lineage: Bacteria
Description: bacterial SSU rRNA
Rfam family: Bacterial small subunit ribosomal RNA
Source: RNAcentral